Molecule: ribosomal RNA, 690 nt
Filed under: uncultured bacterium
Lineage: Bacteria
Description: bacterial SSU rRNA
Rfam family: Bacterial small subunit ribosomal RNA
Source: RNAcentral
AGUUUGAUCCUGGCUCAGGACGAACGCUGGCGGCGUGCCUAAUACAUGCAAGUUGAGCGCUGAAGGUUGGUACUUGUACCGACUGGAUGAGCAGCGAACGGGUGAGUAACGCGUGGGGAAUCUGCCUUUGAGCGGGGGACAACAUUUGGAAACGAAUGCUAAUACCGCAUAACAACUUUAAACACAAGUUUUAAGUUUGAAAGAUGCAAUUGCAUCACUCAAAGAUGAUCCCGCGUUGUAUUAGCUAGUUGGUGAGGUAAAGGCUCACCAAGGCGAUGAUACAUAGCCGACCUGAGAGGGUGAUCGGCCACAUUGGGGCUGAGACACGGCCCAAACUCCUACGGGAGGCAGCAGUAGGGAAUCUUCGGCAAUGGACGAAAGUCUGACCGAGCAACGCCGCGUGAGUGAAGAAGGUUUUCGGAUCGUAAAACUCUGUUGGUAGAGAAGAACGUUGGUGAGAGUGGAAAGCUCAUCAAGUGACGGUAACUACCCAGAAAGGGACGGCUAACUACGUGCCAGCAGCCGCGGUAAUACGUAGGUCCCGAGCGUUGUCCGGAUUUAUUGGGCGUAAAGCGAGCGCAGGUGGUUUAUUAAGUCUGGUGUAAAAGGCAGUGGCUCAACCAUUGUAUGCAUUGGAAACUGGUAGACUUGAGUGCAGGAGAGGAGAGUGGAAUUCCAUGUGUAGCGGUG